CCUACGGGAGGCAGCAGUGGGGAAUAUUGCACAAUGGGGGAAACCCUGAUGCAGCGACGCCGCGUGAGUGAAGAAGUAAUUCGGUAUGUAAAGCUCUAUCAGCAGGGAAGAAAAAGACGGGAACUGGGUAAGGAACCCCGGCUAAAUACGGGCCAGCAGCCGCGGGAAUACGGAGGGGGCAAGCGUUAUCCGGAUUUACUGGGGGGAAAGGGAGCGGAGACGGCAGUGCAAGGCUGGAGUGAAAGGCGGGGGCUCAACCCCCGGACGGCUUUGGAAACUGCACGGCUGGGGUGCAGGAGAGGUAAGUGGAAUUCCUUGUGUAGCGGUGAAAUGCGUAGAUAUUAGGAGGAACACCAGUGGCGAAGGCGGCUUACUGGACUGUAACUGACGUUGAGGCUCGAACGCGUGGGGAGCAAACAGGAUUAGAUACCCGUGUAGUC
Molecule: ribosomal RNA, 440 nt
Filed under: uncultured bacterium
Lineage: Bacteria
Description: partial 16S ribosomal RNA
Rfam family: Bacterial small subunit ribosomal RNA
Source: RNAcentral